Molecule: ribosomal RNA, 207 nt
Filed under: uncultured bacterium
Lineage: Bacteria
Description: partial 16S ribosomal RNA
Rfam family: Bacterial small subunit ribosomal RNA
Source: RNAcentral
GGCGCAGGCGGGAAAGAAAGUCAGAUGUGAAAUUUCGGGGCUCAACCUCGAAGCUGCAUUUGAAACUUCUUUUCUUGAGGGUAGGCGGAGAAAACGGAAUUCCACAAGUAGCGGUGAAAUGCGUAGAUAUGUGGAAGAACACCUGUGGCGAAAGCGGUUUUCUAGCUUACACCUGACGCUGAGGCCCGAAAGCUAGGGGAGCAAACA